Molecule: transfer RNA, 81 nt
Filed under: Ourococcus multisporus
Lineage: Eukaryota; Viridiplantae; Chlorophyta; Chlorophyceae; Sphaeropleales; Selenastraceae
Description: tRNA-Tyr
Rfam family: tRNA
About the family: Transfer RNA (tRNA) molecules are approximately 80 nucleotides in length. Their secondary structure includes four short double-helical elements and three loops (D, anti-codon, and T loops). Further hydrogen bonds mediate the characteristic L-shaped molecular structure. tRNAs have two regions of fundamental functional importance: the anti-codon, which is responsible for specific mRNA codon recognition, and the 3' end, to which the tRNAs corresponding amino acid is attached (by aminoacyl-tRNA synthetases). tRNAs cope with the degeneracy of the genetic code in two manners: having more than one tRNA (with a specific anti-codon) for a particular amino acid; and 'wobble' base-pairing, i.e. permitting non-standard base-pairing at the 3rd anti-codon position.
Source: RNAcentral
GACUCGGUGGCUGAGUGGUUAAAAGCGCUAGACUGUAAAUCUAGUGAUAUUGUCUACGCAGGUUCAAAUCCUGCCCGGGUC